AAAUUGAAGAGUUUGAUCAUGGCUCAGAUUGAACGCUGGCGGCAGGCCUAACACAUGCAAGUCGAGCGGUAGCACAGAGAGCUUGCUCUCGGGUGACGAGCGGCGGACGGGUGAGUAAUGUCUGGGAAACUGCCUGAUGGAGGGGGAUAACUACUGGAAACGGUAGCUAAUACCGCAUAAUGUCGCAAGACCAAAGUGGGGGACCUUCGGGCCUCAUGCCAUCAGAUGUGCCCAGAUGGGAUUAGCUAGUAGGUGGGGUAAUGGCUCACCUAGGCGACGAUCCCUAGCUGGUCUGAGAGGAUGACCAGCCACACUGGAACUGAGACACGGUCCAGACUCCUACGGGAGGCAGCAGUGGGGAAUAUUGCACAAUGGGCGCAAGCCUGAUGCAGCCAUGCCGCGUGUGUGAAGAAGGCCUUCGGGUUGUAAAGCACUUUCAGCGGGGAGGAAGGCGAUAAGGUUAAUAACCUUGGCGAUUGACGUUACCCGCAGAAGAAGCACCGGCUAACUCCGUGCCAGCAGCCGCGGUAAUACGGAGGGUGCAAGCGUUAAUCGGAAUUACUGGGCGUAAAGCGCACGCAGGCGGUCUGUCAAGUCGGAUGUGAAAUCCCCGGGCUCAACCUGGGAACUGCAUUCGAAACUGGCAGGCUAGAGUCUUGUAGAGGGGGGUAGAAUUCCAGGUGUAGCGGUGAAAUGCGUAGAGAUCUGGAGGAAUACCGGUGGCGAAGGCGGCCCCCUGGACAAAGACUGACGCUCAGGUGCGAAAGCGUGGGGAGCAAACAGGAUUAGAUACCCUGGUAGUCCACGCCGUAAACGAUGUCGAUUUGGAGGUUGUGCCCUUGAGGCGUGGCUUCCGGAGCUAACGCGUUAAAUCGACCGCCUGGGGAGUACGGCCGCAAGGUUAAAACUCAAAUGAAUUGACGGGGGCCCGCACAAGCGGUGGAGCAUGUGGUUUAAUUCGAUGCAACGCGAAGAACCUUACCUGGUCUUGACAUCCACAGAACUUUCCAGAGAUGGAUUGGUGCCUUCGGGAACUGUGAGACAGGUGCUGCAUGGCUGUCGUCAGCUCGUGUUGUGAAAUGUUGGGUUAAGUCCCGCAACGAGCGCAACCCUUAUCCUUUGUUGCCAGCGGUUAGGCCGGGAACUCAAAGGAGACUGCCAGUGAUAAACUGGAGGAAGGUGGGGAUGACGUCAAGUCAUCAUGGCCCUUACGACCAGGGCUACACACGUGCUACAAUGGCAUAUACAAAGAGAAGCGACCUCGCGAGAGCAAGCGGACCUCAUAAAGUAUGUCGUAGUCCGGAUUGGAGUCUGCAACUCGACUCCAUGAAGUCGGAAUCGCUAGUAAUCGUAGAUCAGAAUGCUACGGUGAAUACGUUCCCGGGCCUUGUACACACCGCCCGUCACACCAUGGGAGUGGGUUGCAAAAGAAGUAGGUAGCUUAACCUUCGGGAGGGCGCUUACCACUUUGUGAUUCAUGACUGGGGUGAAGUCGUAACAAGGUAACCGUAGGGGAACCUGCGGUUGGAUCACCUCCUUA
This 1540-nucleotide ribosomal RNA is filed under the name Klebsiella pneumoniae. RNAcentral describes it as "bacterial SSU rRNA". It matches the Rfam family "Bacterial small subunit ribosomal RNA". Lineage: Bacteria; Pseudomonadati; Pseudomonadota; Gammaproteobacteria; Enterobacterales; Enterobacteriaceae. The record is from RNAcentral. RNAcentral also lists the same sequence under 2 other names.